AGUGAACGCUGGCGGUAGGCCUAACACAUGCAAGUCGAACGGCAGCACAGUAAGAGCUUGCUCUUACGGGUGGCGAGUGGCGGACGGGUGAGGAAUACAUCGGAAUCUACUUUUUCGUGGGGGAUAACGUAGGGAAACUUACGCUAAUACCGCAUACGACCUACGGGUGAAAGCAGGGGAUCUUCGGACCUUGCGCGAUUGAAUGAGCCGAUGUCGGAUUAGUUAGUUGGCGGGGUAAAGGCCCACCAAGGCGACGAUCCGUAGCUGGUCUGAGAGGAUGAUCGGCCAAACUGGAACUGAGACACGGUCCAGACUCCUAGGGGAGGCAGCAGUGGGGAAUAUUGGAAAAUGGGGGCAAGCCUGCUCCAGCCAUACCGCGUGGGUGAAGAAGGCCUUCGGGUUGUAAAGCCCUUUUGUUGGGAAAGAAAAGCAGCAGGUUAAUACCCCGCUGUUCUGACGGUACCCAAAGAAUAAGCACCGGCUAACUUCGUG
Molecule: ribosomal RNA, 492 nt
Filed under: uncultured bacterium
Lineage: Bacteria
Description: partial 16S ribosomal RNA
Rfam family: Bacterial small subunit ribosomal RNA
Source: RNAcentral